ACCUUAGAAAUAGGUGCUAAAACCGCAUAAGCGCACAGCUUCGCAUGAAGCGGUGUGAAAAACUCCGGUGGUGUAAGAUGGACCCGCGUCUGAUUAGCUUGUUGGCGGGGUAACGGCCCACCAAGGCGACGAUCAGUAGCCGGCCUGAGAGGGCGGACGGCCACAUUGGGACUGAGACACGGCCCAGACUCCUACGGGAGGCAGCAG
RNAcentral lists this ribosomal RNA (207 nucleotides) under uncultured bacterium. RNAcentral's name for it is "partial 16S ribosomal RNA". It matches the Rfam family "Bacterial small subunit ribosomal RNA", at positions 148 to 354 of the family's 1533-position model. The record is from RNAcentral.